This is an RNA transcript of Caenorhabditis elegans, 964 nucleotides long. It is a transcript of the gene named Non-coding transcript of protein-coding gene csp-3, with no coding region annotated. Lineage: Eukaryota; Metazoa; Nematoda; Chromadorea; Rhabditida; Rhabditidae. The transcript is spliced from 8 exons. The record is from RefSeq and is marked reviewed.
GAAUAUGAUAACCUUGAGGAGGCACCUCGAAAAUCCGCAGGAGGCGGGCCCACUCGGCGCCAGGGAGCAAAGGAGAAAUUCGAAGAGGAAGCAACGAAGAACAAAGCCAGAGAAAGAAAGUGGGUAGAAGAGCACGGCUUCGAUCGCCCACGGAGAACCCAAUCGCAGAAAUUGGCGGAACAAAAUCGAAACCGAUAUGCGAGAAAAAAAGCAGCUCUGGAGCAAUCAGAUAAGGUCGAAUCGGAUGAGGAGGAGAAGUUGAGCGAAUCAGAUGAGGAUGAGGAAGGAAGAGGAGCAGUUGAUGAAUUUGAAUUCGAAUCAAACGAUGUUCCGUCUCCCCAGGCUCCACCGACACCGUCAAUUGCUGAUCCGGGCCCCACAGCCUCUUCAUCGCCACUCACUCAAGACCCCGCCUCAAACGCCACUGGAUUCUCUGUCACACCAAACCUCGUCGUCGCAAGCGGAUUUAUUGGUUUCUUUCUCAACGUCCCCUGGCUUUCUAUCAUUCAAAGAUGAAACCAAAGACACAUGGUAUAUUCAGGAGCUUUAUCGAGUGAUUAUUGAGAACGCGAAAGAUACUCAUUUGGCGGAUCUUCUGACGGAGACCAACAGACGAGUCGUGGAGAAAUAUGAGGCAGAUAAAGUAGUGUUCGUGUGUAAGCAAGCACCUGAGUUCUGGUCGAGGUUCACAAAACAGCUAUUCUUCAUGUCUAGAAAUGACGUGUUUUGAUGUCAAUGGCCUCGGUGAUCAGUAUGCUCUCAGUACAUGUUUCAACAGUUCUUUCAAUUGUCACACAUUUUUCCCGCUGCUACGAUGAAUUACAAUACCUAUUCAAUUUCCAAUAUCGGAUUUUCUAUCAAUUGUGACGAUGUCAUGCUAGCCUUAUUCAUAUUUAAAAUGCCCGUUUGUCAACUCUUCUGGAUAUUUUAACUGGUCAAUAAAGUGUUUUAUUUGAAGUUCUAU